CCUGUGUAUCCUACAAGGUACUAUUUGUGGAAAUCAAAAUGAACAGGUGUUCAUCUCCUAAUUGAAAUCUAGCACAGCUCUCGGCUGCCACAUUUCCGAGUCCAGCUGCACGGCUUGUGCUGGGGAUGAUAGGGUACAACAAAACGCUUUGCCAUUAUCAUUUAUCCUCCAGAGUGUGGGCGUAAAUAAUGUGCCCACAUUUGUGAAACUCAGAGGGAUCUCCAUGGAAACGCUUAAUCGCUGACAUUUAAACUCCUGGUGCUGAUAAGGAAAGCUGCUGCCUCUGACCUAUUGAGAACAGUUUAUCAAGUCCAGGCUUCCCAAGGCUCACCCUACACCCUGGCUUUUUGAAUUUGCCUCAACUGGAUAGCUCUCACCACAAGUACCUCAUUGUUCCUUAAAGCAAUGGCCAUCCCCCAAGUGAAGGACAUCAGUGAAAGGAGCAGACUUACUAAAAGCACAUCGCCACCAUAGAAAGUCAUCCAACUGUUGAAUAGGAUAGAGCACAGAGAAAUCUACUAUCUUGAGGAGAAGAUAACUGACAUCAAAAUAAGAUUGAACGUCCUUGUAAUAAAUUUGGAAUUAUGAAAAAGAGCUUAAGCUACUUGAGGUACUUCCAACGUCCUCAGUUUGCCUGGCAAUAUUCACCAAAUGGCAAGCCAGGAGGCAAAGAUUUACAUUCACUUAACUGA
Molecule: long non-coding RNA, 692 nt
Filed under: Phascolarctos cinereus (koala)
Lineage: Eukaryota; Metazoa; Chordata; Mammalia; Diprotodontia; Phascolarctidae
Description: lncRNA (ENSPCIG00000007927.2)
Source: RNAcentral